Molecule: non-coding RNA, 2791 nt
Organism: Sus scrofa (pig)
Lineage: Eukaryota; Metazoa; Chordata; Mammalia; Artiodactyla; Suidae
Source: RefSeq, a predicted model, not a curated record
UUCUCGUGACCUAGCAGAGCCCUUGGCUGUGGCUGUUUGGUGACAUCCUUGGGGCCUCCCCAAUAUUUUCAUGGGCCUCCCCCAGGCCCACUCUUUACAAAGAAGAGAAAUGGCUGCUCCACCCCCAGCAUCUUAGUACCAAGACUAAAGGGUGUGUGUGGAGGGGGGGUGGCCUUCUUUAAUAUUUAAUAUUGUGAAGGUCUUCUCUGUUUUCCGCCCAGCAGCCCUCCCUUCCGAACUUUGUGAAUCAGAAAAGACAAUCCGAUGAGGUGAGGGGCAGAUGCAUCAGUAUCCCUCCCUGCCGUUGGGUGAACCCCAAAAAGUUCUCUGCCAGUAAGCUGAGUCCUUUCGAGGAGAGCCAAGUUCUUCCAGCCCUUCUCUCUCCCUCCGCCUCCCACCCCCCACCCCCUGCGCCCCUGGGGUCUCAGUCCCUCGCACGCACGGAGGAGGCUGCACUGUGAUCGCUGGAAGGCAGAGUCUCCCACGCUCUGUGCCUUUUGGCUCUGUCCCUCCACCCCUUCCCCUCCCACCCCCGCGCUGGCCCCUCCUCCUCAGACCUGCGGGGAUCUUUCCAACCCGGACAGAAAGCCUGCGCGGUAGGAUUGCAGCGACCCCCGGUGGACACAGACAGGAGCGUCGCUAUUGUUGCUGCUGGGAUUUUCGGGUCACUUGUUUCUGCAGCGCGACUUAAUCUCAGCUGACUCCACGCACUGCAGGCCUCAUUUACGGAUUUUAGGGCAUUCAGUGUAGCUCUUCAGCCAUGGAGGGAUACCCCCGUUCCUCAGACCCCUCUAUUAAACUCCCCCGCUGCAGUGUCAUCUUCCCAUCUUUGACGGAAUAACAUUGCAGCUGAAUCUCUGAAACACAGAGGCGGGCCCAGACCUCCGAGCUCAUCAGGAUGCUACCUGCACCUGCAGCCUGGCUGCAGUCGGAGGCUCUCCAUGGGGGUGUGGGCUGUGGAAUAAGACCCACUGUUCUCGGGUGGCUGUCGAGUUCGAGAACGCUGAAUCCUAACUGCUUGAUGUACCUACGUCCCCAGAAAUUUGUCCACUUGGCAAAGAGACUGAGGGUAGGGAGGCAAAUAAAUAUUUAAAGAGAGAAGACAGGAUGGGGUGGAAAAAAAAUACAGGCACAGGCAGCGGGGGUGAGGAGGUGGAAAGGGAAAGAGAGACUGAGACACGGAGAUGAAGAGAGCAGCCCCCCGGAGGGCCUUUAAACCACGCCUGUGGGGCGGUCCUUCCGGCCUCCUCCGGCCAAUCGUCUUGCUCCGUCUGGCGGGGGGGGGGCUGACUCCAGGCCCUGCCCUCAGUCUGGACUUGAGCACCAGGGUCUCUGGGAAGUGGACAGGAUGUGCUGUGGUCUGCGCCCCUCCUUCCUCUGAUCCCCAGGAACCUCUCUGCGAGUGUGGGGUUCCUGAGGUGUCCUUGACCUUCAGAAUGAGAAAUGGAUGGUCCCUAUCUUUUAUCCAAGCAGGGUCAGCUUUUAGGUUGAAGUCACCUGUCCACAGGGAACAGAUGACAGCGGCUCAGCCUGGGACCCAUCUGUCUCCUGCUUCACCACAUUUGCCCCUCCUGCCAGCCUCGUGACCAUAAGCGACAGAACGGUUUCGUUGAAUUUUCUCACUGGGCCACGCUUCACUGCAAGGGAGGUGAGACAACAUGUUUUGACUCGGAGCAGACACCUGCCUUGAGAAAACAGAAGAAGUGGAGAACGGGUGUCAGGAAAAGCCCAGUCUGGUAUGUCCAACCUGCCUGAACGUGGUGAGUCAGGAAUAUGCUCCCUUCAAGGAACAGAAAUCCUGCCCCAACAGGGCUUCAGCAAACUAGGCUUUGCUUUUUAAGGACAACAAGGAGUGCUUGGUUGCUGGUGCAGUGUAGCCAUUUCAGAGAGGACCUUUGAGGGUUGGUUUCCAGUCUCAGAGUUGGUGCCUCAUGGACGGAAGAAGGCUGCUGAGGCUCCAUACAUCAUUUUCACAUUCAAGGCAGGAAGAAGGAUGAAGAGUACUGCCAGCCUGUAUGUCCCGCUUCAGCAGGAAAACAAAAGCUUUCCAUGGACACUCCUGGAAGGCCGCAUGUGGUACUCGUUGGUCAGGACUGGAUGUCUUGGCCUCUCUAUCUGCAAGGGAGUCUGCAAAACCAACCACUUAGCUUCCAGCUUCCCUAUUAGACAGUAGACCAAAAACAUCAAUACAGGAAUUCCUAUAUUGACAGUUAAUAUCACAGUCGUGCACAGAGACUUGUACCUGCUCAAACAUUGCAGGGUCACUUAUCACUGAAAAAUCACAAACAUCCUGCAUGUUCAACGUGCAUGUUUGGGUUCCAAUCAAUGGGUCAGUCAUUCAGUAAUAACCUGUGUUACUGCUUCUGGAAAAUAGAAGGAGUUUCCGUUGUGGGUCAGUGUGUUAAGUACCCGACACCAUGGUCCCUGAGGAUGCAGGUUCGAUCCCUGGCCUCGCUCAGUGGGUUAAGGAUCUGGUGUUGCCACAAGCUGCGGUGUAGGUUGCAGAUACCGCUCAGAUCCAGUGUAGCUGUGGCUGUGGUGCAGCCCGGCAGUUGCAGCUCUGAUUGGACCUCUAGCCUGGGAAGUUGCAUAGGCCACAGGUACGGCCCUAAAAAAGACAAUAGAAGAAAGUAUGAUUUACCUUGUCAUGAUUAUGUCAAGGUUAAGAUUAGGUCGUGUCUGGCCCUCAGCUGGUCCUUAGUCAAUUGUGAUGUAAUGUAUUCUGACCUCCAGACCUCCCACCACCUGCCCCAUCUUUUACCAACCAAAAAAAAAAAUAAAAAAUAAAAAA